AUUGAACGCUGGCGGCAGGCCUAACACAUGCAAGUCGAGCGCGAAAGUUCUUCGGAAUGAGUAAAGCGGCGGACGGGUGAGUAAUGCAUGGGAAUCUGCCUGGUAGUGGGGGACAACGUCUCGAAAGGGACGCUAAUACCGCAUACGCCCUACGGGGGAAAGGGGGGGAUCUUCGGACCUCUCGCUAUCAGAUGAGCCCAUGUCAGAUUAGCUAGUUGGUGGGGUAAAGGCCUACCAAGGCGACGAUCUGUAACUGGUCUGAGAGGAUGAUCAGUCACACUGGAACUGAGACACGGUCCAGACUCCUACGGGAGGCAGCAGUGGGGAAUAUUGGACAAAGGGCGAAAGCCUGAUCCAGCCAUGCCGCGUGUGUGAAGAAGGCCUUAGGGUUGUAAAGCACUUUCAGUGGGGAGAAAGGCUGUUUACUUAAUACGUAGGCAGAUUGAUGUUACCCACAGAAGAAGCACCGGCUAACUCCGCG
Molecule: ribosomal RNA, 481 nt
Filed under: uncultured bacterium
Lineage: Bacteria
Description: partial 16S ribosomal RNA
Rfam family: Bacterial small subunit ribosomal RNA
Source: RNAcentral